Molecule: ribosomal RNA, 468 nt
Filed under: uncultured bacterium
Lineage: Bacteria
Description: partial 16S ribosomal RNA
Rfam family: Bacterial small subunit ribosomal RNA
Source: RNAcentral
GACGAACGCUGGCGGCGUGCUUAACACAUGCAAGUCGAACGGAAAGGCCCUGCUUUUGUGGGGUGCUCGAGUGGCGAACGGGUGAGUAACACGUGAGUAACCUGCCCUUGACUUUGGUAUAACUUCAGGAAACUGGGGCUAAUACCGGAUAGGAGCUCCUGCUGCAUGGUGGGGGUUGGAAAGUUUCGGCGGUUGGGGAUGGACUCGCGGCUUAUCAGCUUGUUGGUGGGGUAGUGGCUUACCAAGGCGUUGACGGGUAGCCGGCCUGAGAGGGUGACCGGCCACAUUGGGACUGAGAUACGGCCCAGACUCCUACGGGAGGCAGCAGUGGGGAAUAUUGCACAAUGGGCGGAAGCCUUAUGCAGCAACGCCGCGUGCGGGAUGACGGCCUUCGGGUUGUAAACCGCUUUCGCCUGUGACGAAGCGUGAGUGACGGUAAUGGGUAAAGAAGCACCGGCUAACUACGUG